This is a non-coding RNA of Thalassolituus sp. HI0120, 360 nucleotides long. The record is from Rfam. Lineage: Bacteria; Pseudomonadati; Pseudomonadota; Gammaproteobacteria; Oceanospirillales; Oceanospirillaceae.
GGGGAUGAUUAGGAUUCGACGUUGAUUACAAAGCUAUGGAUGCAUGUCGAGAGCGUACGGUGAUCUCGUAAAUAAACGCUGUACAUUAGUUAUAGUCGCAAACGACGAAAACUACGCACUAGCGGCAUAAGUCCGCUUACACCAGAACUCGGGUGGCUAUAGCCGGGGGACGGUGGCAUCGUCUUAUAGCCUCGCCUCGCGGACUUCGCUCGUAGUCCAACAGGUCAAACUUUAAUCGAGACAGCUCUAAACACCCUGCCCCUCGGGUCGUGAUGAGUUAAAUCAAUAGAGACGGCUAAGCAUGUAGAUUCUCUAGUGGAGGAUUGGCGGACGGGGGUUCAAAUCCCCCCAUCUCCACCA